This 888-nucleotide ribosomal RNA is filed under the name uncultured bacterium. RNAcentral describes it as "bacterial SSU rRNA". It matches the Rfam family "Bacterial small subunit ribosomal RNA", at positions 29 to 916 of the family's 1533-position model. The record is from RNAcentral.
AUGAACGCUGGCGGCGUGCCUAAUACAUGCAAGUCGAACGAAUCUCUUCGGAGAUGAGUGGCGAACGGGUGAGUAAUACAUAGGUAACCUGCCCCUGUGCGGGGGAUAACAGGAGGAAACUCCUGCUAAUACCGCAUAGCCAUGAGCACCGCAUGGAGCUCAUGCCAAAUAUCCUUUCGGGGAUAGCGCAGGGAUGGACCUAUGGCGCAUUAGCUUGUUGGCGGGGCAACGGCCCACCAAGGCAACGAUGCGUAGCCGGCCUGAGAGGGCGGACGGCCACAUUGGGACUGAGACACGGCCCAGACUCCUACGGGAGGCAGCAGUAGGGAAUUUUCGGCAAUGGGGGAAACCCUGACCGAGCAACGCCGCGUGAGCGAAGAAGGCCUUCGGGUCGUAAAGCUCUGUUGUAAAGGAAGAACGGCGCAUACAGGAAAUGGUAUGCGAGUGACGGUACUUUACCAGAAAGCCACGGCUAACUACGUGCCAGCAGCCGCGGUAAUACGUAGGUGGCGAGCGUUAUCCGGAAUCAUUGGGCGUAAAGAGGGAGCAGGCGGCCGCAAGGGUCUGUGGUGAAAGACCGAAGCUAAACUUCGGUAAGCCAUGGAAACCGGGCGGCUAGAGUGCGGAAGAGGAUCGUGGAAUUCCAUGUGUAGCGGUGAAAUGCGUAGAUAUAUGGAGGAACACCAGUGGCGAAGGCGACGGUCUGGGCCGCAACUGACGCUCAUUCCCGAAAGCGUGGGGAGCAAAUAGGAUUAGAUACCCUAGUAGUCCACGCCGUAAACGAUGGUCACUAAGUGUCGGGGGUCAAACCCCGGUGCUGCAGUCAACGCAAUAAGUGACCCGCCUGAGUAGUACGUUCGCAAGAAUGAAACUCAAAGGAAUUGACGG